Molecule: transfer RNA, 67 nt
Filed under: Marmota monax (woodchuck)
Lineage: Eukaryota; Metazoa; Chordata; Mammalia; Rodentia; Sciuridae
Description: tRNA.Ala
Source: RNAcentral
GGUUGUGGCUCAGUGGUAGAGCGCUUGUCUAGCACGUGCGAGGCCCUGGGUUCAAUCCUUAGCACCA